Molecule: ribosomal RNA, 327 nt
Filed under: uncultured Bacteroidota bacterium
Lineage: Bacteria; Pseudomonadati; Bacteroidota
Description: bacterial SSU rRNA
Rfam family: Bacterial small subunit ribosomal RNA
Source: RNAcentral
GAUGAACGCUAGCGGCAGGCUUAACACAUGCAAGUCGAGGGGCAGCGCGAUGUAGCAAUACAUUGGCGGCGACCGGCGCACGGGUGCGUAACACGUAUGGAAUCUGCCCUUUACUGGGGGAUAGCCCGGAGAAAUCCGGAUUAAUACCCCAUAACAUGCUGAGUGGCAUCACUCGGCUUUGAAAGCUCCGGCGGUAAAGGAUGACCAUGCGCACGAUUAGCUAGUUGGUGAGGUAACGGCUCACCAAGGCUACGAUCGUUAGGGGGCCUGAGAGGGUUAUCCCCCACACUGGUACUGAGACACGGACCAGACUCCUACGGGUGGCUG